CCUUCAGGCUACGCUGGAUUAAAAAAUGUGUUCUUUUAUACAAGAAGCAAGAAGCAAUCAAGGUUGUGUAGUGAACAAGUUGAGAGCAAGAUACCAAUUGCUAGUUAUCCAUAUAUGGCAAAAUCAGCACAACCUUUUGGAGCCGAGCCUAUAAAAGGGGAGCCACCCGGCCAGCAGUAACAAACAAACCAGAGCAACCACCUUCCGGUUCCAGAUAAUCUCAUAUAAGCACAGUCAGAUAGCGAAAUCACCAGCGAGCGAUCAUCAGGAAUAGAUGGAGCAGGUGACGAAGCUGGCGUCUGAGCGGGCGGUAGUGGUGUUCACGUCGAGCAGAUGCUGCAUCUGCCACUCCGUGACGUCCCUUCUCAGCGGCCUCGGCGUCCACGCAGCGGUGUACGAGCUGGACAAGGAUCCCCGGGGCAGGGAGAUGGAGAGGGAGCUCGCUAGGAGACUUGGCCGCGGCCCGCCGGUGGUUCCAGCGGUGUUCAUCGGCGGGAACCUUGUCGGUGGCACCAAAAGGGUCAUGGAGAUGCACCUCGCCGGCGAGCUCGUGCCCAUGCUCAAGGCCGCCGGCGCGCUCUGGCUCUAGUGAGACAAUACUUGCAUGCUCGCUCAGUAUGCAAUGCUAGCCUUUUUGACAGUAUAUAUAGAAUAACAAGAGAUCUAACAGAUGAAAAGCCCAGGUUUUUUAAUAUCCUGUGCCGGCUCCAUGGGGAGAAGAGUUAAACUACCCAGCUAAUCAACGGCAAGAUAAUUCAAUACUACCCGGCCCCAACGGUAGUACGAUGUACCGUAAAAAAUCUCUUUAUUAAACACGCAUAUGCAUCAGCUGUCUUCUGAGGAGCGUAUGCGUUGGAUGUAGCCAAGGCGAACCCAGCUUCUGGUUGUCGAGAAGAGGAAGAAAUGAGAGAGACGCGUCUAGGGGAGCGAUCACGGCGCUUACUCUACCACAAAUCAUGUUAGCUGUAUUAAGUUAGUGCUUGGCUUAGUGCUAGAAUGUACUUCCACCGUAUCAAAAUAAGUGUCUUAACUUUAUACUAAUUCUAGUACAAAGUUAUACUAAGAUUGAGACACUUAUUUAGGAAUGGAGUGAGUACUAGAAGGUCUACAGACCUCACUCUUAAUUAUCCACCAUCUCUUGAUGUGUAACUGAACUUGUACGAGUUGUAUAUAAACAGCUCAAUACUAUUGAGAACAAUCACGGUAUUUACCGCUCU
This is a non-coding RNA of Aegilops tauschii subsp. strangulata, 1217 nucleotides long. The record is from RefSeq and is a predicted model, not a curated record. Lineage: Eukaryota; Viridiplantae; Streptophyta; Magnoliopsida; Poales; Poaceae.